Molecule: unclassified non-coding RNA, 166 nt
Filed under: soil metagenome
Description: partial internal transcribed spacer 1
Source: RNAcentral
CAGAGUUACAAAACUCCCAAACCCUUGUGAACCUACCUGUACGUCGUUGUGCUUCGGCCGGGUAGCCCCACCACCGGGGCCGUGCCUCCUAGCGAGGUGCCCGCCGGAGGACCACUUUAAAACUCUUGCAAUUUGUGGCCUCUCUGAGUAUUAUAUAAAUAAGUCA